Molecule: ribosomal RNA, 497 nt
Filed under: uncultured bacterium
Lineage: Bacteria
Description: partial 16S ribosomal RNA
Rfam family: Bacterial small subunit ribosomal RNA
Source: RNAcentral
GAUGAACGCUGGCGGCGUGCCUAAUACAUGCAAGUCGAGCGAACAGACGAGGAGCUUGCUCCUCUGACGUUAGCGGCGGACGGGUGAGUAACACGUGGAUAACCUACCUAUAAGACUGGGAUAACUUCGGGAAACCGGAGCUAAUACCGGAUAAUAUAUUGAACCGCAUGGUUCAAUAGUGAAAGACGGUUUUGCUGUCACUUAUAGAUGGAUCCGCGCCGCAUUAGCUAGUUGGUAAGGUAACGGCUUACCAAGGCAACGAUGCGUAGCCGACUUGAGAGGGUGAUCGGCCACACUGGAACUGAGACACGGUCCAGACUCCUACGGGAGGCAGCAGUAGGGAAUCUUCCGCAAAGGGCGAAAGCCUGACGGAGCAACGCCGCGUGAGUGAUGAAGGUCUUCGGAUCGUAAAACUCUGUUAUUAGGGAAGAACAAAUGUGUAAGUAACUAUGCACGUCUUGACGGUACCUAAUCAGAAAGCCACGGCUAACUACGUG